RNAcentral lists this ribosomal RNA (390 nucleotides) under uncultured bacterium. RNAcentral's name for it is "bacterial SSU rRNA". It matches the Rfam family "Bacterial small subunit ribosomal RNA", at positions 28 to 419 of the family's 1533-position model. The record is from RNAcentral.
GAUGAACGCUAGCGGCAGGCCUAACACAUGCAAGUCGAGGGGCAGCACGUCUUCGGAUGGUGGCGACCGGCGCACGGGUGCGUAACGCGUAUGCAACCUACCUCUUACAGUGGGAUAGCCCAGAGAAAUUUGGAUUAAUACCGCAUAGUAUACAGAUUCAGCAUUGGGACUGUAUUAAACAUUUAUGGGUAAGAGAUGGGCAUGCGUUCUAUUAGUUAGUUGGAGUGGUAACGGCACCCCAAGACAGCGAUAGAUAGGGGCCCUGAGAGGGGGAUCCCCCACACUGGUACUGAGACACGGACCAGACUCCUACGGGAGGCAGCAGUGAGGAAUAUUGGACAAUGGGCGAGAGCCUGAUCCAGCCAUGCCGCGUGCAGGAAGACGGCCCUA